Molecule: transfer RNA, 93 nt
Filed under: Salmo salar (Atlantic salmon)
Lineage: Eukaryota; Metazoa; Chordata; Actinopteri; Salmoniformes; Salmonidae
Rfam family: tRNA
About the family: Transfer RNA (tRNA) molecules are approximately 80 nucleotides in length. Their secondary structure includes four short double-helical elements and three loops (D, anti-codon, and T loops).
Source: Rfam by way of RNAcentral
UUCCCUGUGGCUCAGUUGGUAGAGCAUGGUGUUUGCAACGCCAGCAUGGUGUGUGCAACACCAGGGUUGUGGGUUUGAUUCCCACGGGGGACC